Molecule: small nucleolar RNA, 73 nt
Organism: Lytechinus pictus (painted urchin)
Lineage: Eukaryota; Metazoa; Echinodermata; Echinoidea; Temnopleuroida; Toxopneustidae
Product: small nucleolar RNA SNORD61
Exons: 1
Source: RefSeq, a predicted model, not a curated record
AUAAGGAUGACUUUUCUUUUACAGAUAUACUUCAUGAAGAAAAUCUGAAAUACCUCUAAGAAGUUCUGAAUGU